AUGAACAGUUUGUGUCAAUGGAUUCCCUUGUGGCUACGAUGGAACCUGAAUCAACGCGUCAUUGGGUCAAGAGAAGUUCCGAUUGAAGUUCAAUAUGAAUCUUUGGGGACUUAUCAUGAGAUUUAUGCCCACUAUCUAAUAAUGGGAAAUAGAAAAAAAGAAAUUCGCGAUGAUUUUAUUGAAAAAGAUCGUGCUCGCGGUAUCUUUUUCACUCAGGACUGGGUAUCCAUGCCAGGUGUUAUACCGGUAGCUUCAGGUGGUAUUCAUGUUUGGCAUAUGCCAGCUCUGACCGAAAUCUUUGGGGACGAUUCUGUAUUACAAUUUGGCGUACAAGAAAAAAGUGGAAGUAAACAUAAGCAGUGUAAACUCUUUAUCCCAAGGUUGAUAUUUUUUAAUUAG
This 399-nucleotide ribosomal RNA is filed under the name Triticum aestivum (bread wheat). Its description in RNAcentral is "partial small subunit ribosomal RNA". Lineage: Eukaryota; Viridiplantae; Streptophyta; Magnoliopsida; Poales; Poaceae. The record is from RNAcentral.